GUAGAAGGGCCUGGAGACAGGAAGGAAACGUAAGAAACUAGAAAGCCAAACUAUUUUUUUUUUUCUUUGACAGGAGAUAAAGGGCUUUAAAUGCCUUUACAGCAGGAGGAGCGCCGCCAGCCCCCGAAGGAAUGGUGGAGAAAAACCACUCCGAAGACCCACACCGCUGUUCUCCUCCCCAGACUCCAGCUAAAAGCCUGCUCCAAGCCUACGUGACGGCUCCACGCACGUGACUCCCACAGCCGGCUGCAGGAGCGUGGCUUGGCCUCACCUCCAGAACACCCAACCAAAGGCCUGGGCCAAAAACCACCCGUGCCAGCAGGUGCCUUCAGCCCCAGGCUGCACACCAGGCAGCAGCUGCAGGAGUGACAGCACCGCGCCACAAACCCACCUUGGAGGCGUCUAUGACAAAACUGUGUGCUACAUUCGCUAUGAAGCCAUCCACGUGGACUCCCAAGUCGCUGCAACACAAAGAGAGUUAAUUACAGGUGGGGCCUAAUGGCUGGGGAAACUUGUGUGACUCCUCCAAGUAUUCCCCGACGCAGGCAUGUUUCAAAAGCUUGGCUAGCUAUUAGAUUCUGCAAUUAGUCACGUCGGGGAAGUACUUAACGCACCGAGCAGGAUUAAAAAGCAAAGCCCUGAUGCCAGCAGUCAACUCACGAGAAACCUGAGCGAGACGCUUACAUUUUGACCAAGUCUCCGUCUUUGAGGAUGUAGUCUUGGUCGCUCUUCAAGGGGGAGAAGUGACAGACGCAGUUAUUUACUGAUAUACUCGUCGGGAAGGCA
Long non-coding RNA from Anas platyrhynchos (mallard), 786 nucleotides. RefSeq lists it as uncharacterized. The record is from RefSeq and is a predicted model, not a curated record. NCBI's taxonomy places the organism in Eukaryota, Metazoa, Chordata, Aves, Anseriformes, Anatidae.